GACGAACGCCGGCGGCGUGCUUAACACAUGCAAGUCGAACGGAAAGGCCCUGCUUUUGUGGGGUGCUCGAGUGGCGAACGGGUGAGUAACACGUGAGUAACCUGCCCUUGACUUUGGGAUAACUUCAGGAAACUGGGGCUAAUACCGGAUAGGAGCUCCUGCUGCAUGGUGGGGGUUGGAAAGUUUCGGCGGUUGGGGAUGGACUCGCGGCUUAUCAGCUUGUUGGUGGGGUAGUGGCUUACCAAGGCUUUGACGGGUAGCCGGCCUGAGAGGGUGACCGGCCACAUUGGGACUGAGAUACGGCCCAGACUCCUACGGGAGGCAGCGGUGGGGAAUAUUGCACAAUGGGCGGAAGCCUGAUGCAGCAACGCCGCGUGCGGGAUGACGGCCUUCGGGUUGUAAACCGCUUUCGCCUGUGACGAAGCGUGAGUGACGGUAAUGGGUAAAGAAGCACCGGCUAACUACGUG
RNAcentral lists this ribosomal RNA (468 nucleotides) under uncultured bacterium. Its description in RNAcentral is "partial 16S ribosomal RNA". It matches the Rfam family "Bacterial small subunit ribosomal RNA", at positions 28 to 507 of the family's 1533-position model. The record is from RNAcentral.